GAUCAUGGCUCAGGAUGAACGCUAGCUACAGGCUUAACACAUGCAAGUCGAGGGCAGCAUGAACUUAGCUUGCUAAGUUUGAUGGCGACCGGCGCACGGGUGAGUAACACGUAUCCAACCUUCCGUUUACUCAGGGAUAGCCUUUCGAAAGAAAGAUUAAUACCUGAUAGUAUGGUGAGAUUGCAUGAUAACACCAUUAAAGAUUUAUUGGUAAACGAUGGGGAUGCGUUCCAUUAGAUAGUAGGCGGGGUAACGGCCCACCUAGUCUUCGAUGGAUAGGGGUUCUGAGAGGAAGGUCCCCCACAUUGGAACUGAGACACGGUCCAAACUCCUACGGGAGGCAGCAGUGAGGAAUAUUGGUCAAUGGGCGAGAGCCUGAACCAGCCAAGUAGCGUGCAGGAUGACGGCCCUAUGGGUUGUAAACUGCUUUUAUAAGGGAAUAAAGUGGGAGUCGUGACUCUUUUUGCAUGUACCUUAUGAAUAAGGACCGGCUAAUUCCGUG
This 502-nucleotide ribosomal RNA is filed under the name uncultured bacterium. RNAcentral's name for it is "bacterial SSU rRNA". It matches the Rfam family "Bacterial small subunit ribosomal RNA", at positions 15 to 507 of the family's 1533-position model. The record is from RNAcentral.